GGGGUCGGGGCGGCAGUCUACACAUGCAGUCGAGCGGAUGAAGGGAGCUUGCUCCUGGAUUCAGCGGCGGACGGGUGAGUAAUGCCUAGGAAUCUGCCUGGUAGUGGGGGAUAACGUCCGGAAACGGGCGCUAAUACCGCAUACGUCCUGAGGGAGAAAGUGGGGGAUCUUCGGACCUCACGCUAUCAGAUGAGCCUAGGUCGGAUUAGCUAGUUGGUGGGGUAAAGGCCUACCAAGGCGACGAUCCGUAACUGGUCUGAGAGGAUGAUCAGUCACACUGGAACUGAGACACGGUCCAGACUCCUACGGGAGGCAGCAGUGGGGAAUAUUGGACAAUGGGCGAAAGCCUGAUCCAGCCAUGCCGCGUGUGUGAAGAAGGUCUUCGGAUUGUAAAGCACUUUAAGUUGGGAGGAAGGGCAGUAAGUUAAUACCUUGCUGUUUUGACGUUACCAACAGAAUAAGCACCGGCUAACUUCGUGCCAGCAGCCGCGGUAAUACGAAGGGUGCAAGCGUUAAUCGGAAUUACUGGGCGUAAAGCGCGCGUAGGUGGUUCAGCAAGUUGGAUGUGAAAUCCCCGGGCUCAACCUGGGAACUGCAUCCAAAACUACUGAGCUAGAGUACGGUAGAGGGUGGUGGAAUUUCCUGUGUAGCGGUGAAAUGCGUAGAUAUAGGAAGGAACACCAGUGGCGAAGGCGACCACCUGGACUGAUACUGACACUGAGGUGCGAAAGCGUGGGGGAGCAAACAGGAUUAGAUACCCUGGUAGUCCACGCCGUAAACGAUGUCGACUAGCCGUUGGGAUCCUUGAGAUCUUAGUGGCGCAGCUAACGCGAUAAGUCGACCGCCUGGGGAGUACGGCCGCAAGGGUUAAAACUCAAUGAAUUGACGGGGGCCCGCACAAGCGGUGGAGCAUGUGGUUUAAUUCGAAGCAACGCGAAGAACCUUACCUGGCCUUGACAUGCUGAGAACUUUCCAGAGAUGGAUUGUGCCUUUCGGGACUCAGACACAGGUGCUGCAUGCUGUCGUCAGCUCGUGUCGGGAGAAUGUGGUAAGGUCCGUACGAGCGCAUCCGUGUUCCUAGUUACAGCACCUUCGGUGGGCACUCUAAGAAACUGGCGUAACAAAUGAGAAGCUGGGAUUGACGUCAGUCAUCUUGCUUACGCAGGCUACACGGUGGCUACACACGUGCUACAAUGGUCGGUACAAAGGGUUGCCAAGCCGCGAGGUGGAGCUAAUCCCAUAAAACCGAUCGUAGUCCGGAUCGCAGUCUGCAACUCGACUGCGUGAAGUCGGAAUCGCUAGUAAUCGUGAAUCAGAAUGUCACGGUGAAUACGUUCCCGGGCCUUGUACACACCGCCCGUCACACCAUGGGAGUGGGUUGCUCCAGAAGUAGCUAGUCUAACCGCAAGGGGGACGGUACCACGAGAUCCUUGCCAA
Molecule: ribosomal RNA, 1437 nt
Filed under: Pseudomonas aeruginosa
Lineage: Bacteria; Pseudomonadati; Pseudomonadota; Gammaproteobacteria; Pseudomonadales; Pseudomonadaceae
Description: bacterial SSU rRNA
Rfam family: Bacterial small subunit ribosomal RNA
Source: RNAcentral